CCUACGGGAGGCUGCAGUGAGGAAUAUUGGUCAAUGGGCGUAAGCCUGAACCAGCCAAGUCGCGUGAGGGAUGAAGGUUCUAUGGAUCGUAAACCUCUUUUAUAAGGGAAUAAAGUGUGGGACGUGUCCUGUUUUGUAUUUACCUUAUGAAUAAGGAUCGGCUAACUCCGUGCCAGCAGCCGCGGUAAUACGGAGGGUCCGAGCGUUAUCCGGAUUUGUUGGGUUUAACGGUUGCGGAGGCGGCCUUUUAAGUCAGCGGUGAAAGCCUGGGGCUCAACCAUAGAAUUGCCGUUGAAACUGGGAGGCUUGAGUAUGUUUGAGGCAGGUGGAAUGCGUGGUGUAGCGGUGAAAUGCUUAGAUAUCACGCAGAACCCCGAUGGCGAAGGCAGCCUGCCAAGCCAUGACUGACGCUGAUGCACGAAAGCGUGGGGAUCAAACAGGAUUAGAUACCCCAGUAGUC
Molecule: ribosomal RNA, 460 nt
Filed under: uncultured bacterium
Lineage: Bacteria
Description: partial 16S ribosomal RNA
Rfam family: Bacterial small subunit ribosomal RNA
Source: RNAcentral